CGUCGAGUCACCCACUGGGAUAGAAAAAGAAAAGGGGUCCAAAAUACACUCAUGAUUGAAACCAAAAUACACAGGAACAAAUGAAGUCACAUAAGAAAGUGUAGACAUAAACCAAGUAAACAGUACACAUCAUGAGAGAAGAGAUUUAAAAUACCAGUGGCGAUAUUGAGAGAUGCCUCGGACUCCUGACGAGUAGUAAGAGCAUAGAGAUAAUUUUGAC
This 220-nucleotide long non-coding RNA is filed under the name Capsicum annuum. RNAcentral describes it as "long non-coding RNA (CANN_LNC021467)". The record is from RNAcentral. Lineage: Eukaryota; Viridiplantae; Streptophyta; Magnoliopsida; Solanales; Solanaceae.